GACGAACGCUGGCGGCGUGCUUAACACAUGCAAGUCGAACGGAAAGGCCUCUUUCGGGGGGUACUCGAGUGGCGAACGGGUGAGUAACACGUGAGUAACCUGCCCUUGACUUUGGGAUAACUUCAGGAAACUGGGGCUAAUACCGGAUAGGAGCUCCUGCUGCAUGGUGGGGGUUGGAAAGUUUCGGCGGUUGGGGAUGGACUCGCGGCUUAUCAGCUUGUUGGUGGGGUAGUGGCUUACCAAGGCUUUGACGGGUAGCCGGCCUGAGUGGGUGACCGGCCACAUUGGGUCUGAGAUACGGCCCAGACUCCUACGGGAGGCAGCAGUGGGGAAUAUUGCGCAAUGGGUGGAAGCCUGAUGCAGCAACGCCGUGUGCGGGCUGACGGCCUUCGGGUUGUAGACCGCUUUCGCUCAUGACGAAGCUUUGUGUGACGGUAGUGGGUAAAGAAGCACCGGCUAACUACGUG
This 467-nucleotide ribosomal RNA is filed under the name uncultured bacterium. RNAcentral's name for it is "partial 16S ribosomal RNA". It matches the Rfam family "Bacterial small subunit ribosomal RNA", at positions 28 to 507 of the family's 1533-position model. The record is from RNAcentral.